Molecule: ribosomal RNA, 808 nt
Filed under: uncultured bacterium
Lineage: Bacteria
Description: bacterial SSU rRNA
Rfam family: Bacterial small subunit ribosomal RNA
Source: RNAcentral
AGUCGAACGAGAUCUUCGGAUCUAGUGGCGCACGGGUGCGUAACGCGUGGGAAUCUGCCCUUUGGUUCGGAAUAACAGUUGGAAACGACUGCUAAUACCGGAUGAUGACGUAAGUCCAAAGAUUUAUCGCCAGAGGAUGAGCCCGCGUAGGAUUAGCUAGUUGGUGUGGUAAGAGCGCACCAAGGCGACGAUCCUUAGCUGGUCUGAGAGGAUGAUCAGCCACACUGGGACUGAGACACGGCCCAGACUCCUACGGGAGGCAGCAGUGGGGAAUAUUGGACAAUGGGCGAAAGCCUGAUCCAGCAAUGCCGCGUGAGUGAUGAAGGCCUUAGGGUUGUAAAGCUCUUUUACCCGGGAUGAUAAUGACAGUACCGGGAGAAUAAGCUCCGGCUAACUCCGUGCCAGCAGCCGCGGUAAUACGGAGGGAGCUAGCGUUGUUCGGAAUUACUGGGCGUAAAGCGCACGUAGGCGGCUUUGUAAGUUAGAGGUGAAAGCCUGGAGCUCAACUCCAGAAUUGCCUUUAAGACUGCAUCGCUUGAAUCCAGGAGAGGUGAGUGGAAUUCCGAGUGUAGAGGUGAAAUUCGUAGAUAUUCGGAAGAACACCAGUGGCGAAGGCGGCUCACUGGACUGGUAUUGACGCUGAGGUGCGAAAGCGUGGGGAGCAAACAGGGUUAGAUACCCUGGUAGUCCACGCCGUAAACGAUGAUAACUAGCUGUCCGGGGACUUGGUCUUUGGGUGGCGCAGCUAACGCAUUAAGUUAUCCGCCUGGGGAGUACGGCCGCAAGGUUAAAACUCAAAUGAAUUGAC